GACGAACGCUGGCGGCGUGCUUAACACAUGCAAGUCGAACGGACAGGCCCUGCUUUUGUGGGGUGCUCGAGUGGCGAACGGGUGAGUAACGCGUGAGUAACCUGCCCUUGACUUUGGGAUAACUUCAGGAAACUGGGGCUCAUACCGGAUAGGAGCUCCUGCUGCAUGGUGGGGGUUGGAAAGUUUCGGUGGUUGGGGAUGGACUCGCGGCUUAUCAGCUUGUUGGUGGGGUAGUGGCUUACCAAGGCUUUGACGGGUAGCCGGCCUGAGAGGGUGACCGGCCACAUUGGGACUGAGAUACGGCCCAGACUCCUACGGGAGGCAGAAGUGGGGAAUAUUGCACAAUGGGCGGAAGCCUGAUGCAGCAACGCCGCGUGCGGGAAGACGGCCUUCGGGUUGUAAACCGCUUUCGCCGGUGACGAAGCGUGAGUGACGGUAAUGGGUAAAGAAGCACCGGCUAACUACGUG
Molecule: ribosomal RNA, 468 nt
Filed under: uncultured bacterium
Lineage: Bacteria
Description: partial 16S ribosomal RNA
Rfam family: Bacterial small subunit ribosomal RNA
Source: RNAcentral